UGAACCAGUGACGACAGCUGGUGGCAUUUGAGUCGUGGAUGAUGAAUAUGAAGUGUCUGGAACUCUGAGAUUCAA
This is a small nucleolar RNA of Callithrix jacchus (white-tufted-ear marmoset), 75 nucleotides long. Ensembl annotates it as small nucleolar RNA, C/D box 114-31. Its record names the gene SNORD114-31. The record is from Ensembl. NCBI's taxonomy places the organism in Eukaryota, Metazoa, Chordata, Mammalia, Primates, Cebidae.